UACACAUGGUGUUGGUCCUGCUGAGCAUUGUUUCUGUGAGUUUGUGUUGGAUUCUUUGUUCUCCUGUGGACCUUUUUUGGAUUUUCCUGCUUCUUUGUGAACUGUGUUCCACCUGGGACUCAUUCCCUUGCUUUCACCUAUGCUAGCCGGUACUUAUCUGCUCAUUACCUGUCUGCUCACCUCUGCCUGUUCUUGCCUGCAUAUCACCCAACAAUAAACAAGGUAGUCAUCCGGCUACUUUUCCCUGAGACUGCUUCCUCGUCAUCUGCUUUUGGGUCCACAUACCUCUAUACAGCACCCCUUACGACAAGUCGACUCUGUAUUGGAUCAUUUGAGAGUACAUUUCCAAAGUUCUACCAAUCAUCACACAGGUUGUGUAUUAAACUCAGAAGAUGGAGUUGAAAACAAACGCCUGCGCUUGUGUUGCACUGACAUACUGAAUUAAAGACCUGAGCACAACUCAAAUGAUCUCAGUUCACUAUAGGCAUAGACAAGAGAGUCUUAGUUAUGUUGCGUACUUGCCUGAAAAUGUUGAACAUUUUUCUAUGCGCCGACAGAAUGGUAUUGUAAAUGGAAUAUUGUUUGGACCUAAUGUUUAAUUUUAUCAUGUAGUGUCAUUUAGCAUAAGUGUUUUUAUAUGAAUUUUUUAUAAUUACUCAAGGCAAUAUCUUCCUUGCAGUAUUUUGUAAAUGACGCUAAAAGACAAACAACGUGGAUAUUGCUGUAUGGGCGCAACAGAUACUAGACGGCAAUGAGAGCAGCUGUAAAUAUCAUAUUGUAAGAGACUAAUAAAAAUGUGAUGGUCUAUAUUAUUUAAAAAGCGUGUCGUGAUAAUUAUUUAAAAUUUAAGAUGGUUAAAAUGGUUAACAAACUCGAAGAAGAAAAAGAUGUAACUCUUGUGAGGGGGAGGUGGUGUUCUCAGUACAGCUUACUGUAGAUCACACACAAUCUUUACAUUUCAUUCAGAAAGAAUACUUUCAAAACGUAGUAGAUGAAUUCCCAGAGUUUGCUGGCGUGUAUUUCCAGAGCGACUCUCCUAUCACAACCAGCUGACAUCCCAAACUUUUUGAGUAUUUGUUAGAACUGAUCACCUUCAGAGGCUCCACCCAUGAAGCUGAUGCCAAAGUGGUCUCCUUCCAGUACCAAGAGCUGUGGGGUAAGUUGGUGUUAUUAUUUUGAUUUACACAUCCAAAUAUGAAGAACAACACGUGAAGAUCAAAUAUAAUCUCUUUAAGUCAUAAUUUACAACAGUGCUUCUCAAACUUUUUUUGUCACGCGCCCCUUCCGAAGUUGAAAGAAAUGCCACCCCAGAAAAAGUGGAUUUAAUUUUUAUCAAAUCAUUUACAAUUUGGGCAAUUGAAGUAAACAAAAGACUCAGCUUAGGAAGAUAGCCUUGCUAGUAUCAAAGCACUUUUGUUUAUGUCCACCCAAUAUGUGUAAUAUAUAAUGUACUAAUAUUGUGACCCUGCUCUGACACUUCCUCCUUUUCCUCGCUGUGUGCUAAAAGGGGAUCAGUGACCUGUACAUGAACGCUGAUUGUUAUAUUAUGUUGUUGUUGUUGCUGAUGCUGCAGCUGCUGCGUUACUAGUGUAUUUCAGUAUCUACAACUGAAGAUGGCGACCCCAGUAAUCCGCGUCGUCAAGCCAGAUGCCCUGCAAAUUGUCGACAGGCUGUACUGAUGGCGACCAAAGAGGCCCGUUACUGUCGAGAGAAAAGGAUGGUCUUCCCCAAACCCCCACAGGAGCUGCUCAACCCGGCCACUGCCCUGGCCCACGCAGAGAAGCUCCUUCGAGCAGAGGGUAUCCCCGCACCGUCGCGUCAGCUGUGCCUGGGAAAGCUGUAUGAGAAUGCACCAUUCCACUGGCUUGUGGCAAACGAUGCGGGCUGCAUGAAGUACGUACUUGACAAACACAGAUCAGAGGUGACAAACCCACAUAGAAAGGGAGAGAUGGUGAACCAGUGGGUGAAAGACUACCUCACAGAACAUGCAGAGAGCUUCCCACAGUCUGCAGUCCCCUCGAGGCCAACAUCGACAGGUGUGUCUACGGUCAGAGAGGGUUUGAGGUUUACACCUUUCAGGAGGUGUGGGAGCUCUACAGCCAGUACCACACCCAAAGGAACAGGCCAGGGCAAUUCAGUGAUGAGCAGAGGGUGACAACACAGAAGGCCCACAGUUCUGUGAGGAACCCACAUCACAAGUGUGCAGAUGAAGAGGUUCAAGAAAUAUAUUAAUGACAAGGAGCAAGUGAGUGUUGAUUUGAUUAUGUAUUUGUUAUGGAACGGCAAGAGCAGAAUAGCAUAGUAAAUGGAAAUUGUUCAAAUUACUGAUAUUUUGAGCACUUUGGCUAAAUGUGUUUGUUUGCUUUUGGUAAUUUAAAACCGCUACCUCCUAAAAUCCAGAUAGUUACGCAGGCUUCAUCGUGGCCGGGCGAUGGCGCUGAACUGAGAGCUGCAAGUCGGGCUGUGGAAGGUAAGUGAGAUGCAGAGCUAAUAGACACCAAACCGUUUGUUUUUCACUGAUGUAUAACAAAAAAACUACUUUAUUUGGUAAAUUCUCAGACUCGCUCAAGUCCCAAGAGUCCUGCAGUCAGACUAGCAGUCAGUCUCUGGAUUCCCAGUCCCGGGGUUCCCGACCCACAGACAAGACCAAGCAGCCUGAGCCCGCUGUCGGGCCAAAACUGUCCUGGUUUUUUUAAUGGUUCAUUUUAAAACAAAUUGGGACUGUGACUAUCUGUGGAUGUGAUACGGUGCCUCCCAUUUUUCUUUCAUUCUUGAUGCAUCUUCUGAGGGUUCUGGUGACAGCUGUCAACGACAACAGUGAUGUUGGCGUUAAUUGUGUUCUUGUAUUUAUGUGUGUAUGUUUGCCGCCUCAACAGCCGCUGUCAGCAGCUGUUUUUCGGAACAGCUGCUGUUCAGACUCCAGCAGCUGCUCGGACUGGAGUACCUUUUUUAGCCAGUACCUGUUCAGCUAGAGCACCGGUGAAUCUGGACCCUUCUCUCUUCAGGACAUUGUCAACAAUGGUCCUGGUCCAGAGGAGGAGGUGGUUCAGCCUGGGCAGCCCGAUCCAGAUCCUGAAGCAGACGAGGCGUACCAGAGCGACCUGGAGGCACAUGACGAUGUGCUCGAUGGUAUCCUGCCCCACAUUACGCUCACCAGCAAUGGAACCUCCACUGUUCACCCUCCGGCCUUUAUUGAAGAAGAUGAAGUUUCGGGAAGUCUGAAAAGGCGAGGGAUCGAUGCCUUACAUAUGAAGACUCGGGCAGCUGAAGCAAAGCUCAUGCUUUACCAGAAAAUGAGAAGUGUAACUGAGCGCCUCCAUCUGCAGCACGCCUUUGUUCUCUGCCAAAAGUGACACACGGCAGCCGGGUGCAAGGGCUGCUCCCAUCCAGCGUCUCAAACAGCUGGAAGCUACAUCACGCCACUGUGAUGUUUCCCCAACAUGUACCAGACUGCCCCUCUACGCAUGGUCACAUCACCCCAGGCAACCCCGCCUGUCUCAGGCCCUCCCCAUGUCGAGCAUACAGACACUGAUAUACAAGGAUGAUGAGGAUGAUGAGGAUGACGACAAUGAUAGCAACUGAGACUGUAAGCACUCGUGACCGGGGCUGGUUUGUGGCUUCCUGAUUUUUAAUGAUUACUUUAAGCAAGCUUGUAUGUUUUGUUAUUUAUCAUUCAAAAUGUCUCCUUAAUUCAGUGCUAACCAAAAUGAGCUGUGAGCUGUUCUGUCAAUCUAAACCCAAAAACUUGGUUUAAACUUGCUCUUUUUGGACAAACACACUGUUUUUGUAGAAGUUGUUGUCUCAGUGACUUUCUAAAGUCUUGCAGUACUCAGGGUACAGCCAGCUUUGGUGUAAUGAAUAACAUUACAAUUAACACUAAUCAUAUUAUUCUAUCUGUACAUCAUGUUUUUUGUAAAAAGGACACAUUUGUAAAAGAGGGCUUGCUCUCUGUGUUUUCCACGUGUAAAUGAAGGUUACUGCUACUCACUUUCAGUUUCUAAAAAUGAAAAGGAACAUGCAGGUGUAUGACUAGAAUACAGCUCUCCCACUAUGAGUUAUCGUCAUGUCAUUGUCACGGCAGAAAUUAAUAAAAGAGCUGAGAGCUUUACUUGAUAAAUGAAUUAUUAUACAAUGAUUUUACAGUCGUAAUUGGCCAGACAUAGUUUGUUACAUCGGUGUUUUUGGCAUGAAAAGCUCCUUCAUCCAGGCCUCUUCCCAUUGGCUGCUUUCGGACAGUCGCUGACGUAAUGCGGAAGCUGUAAACCACGGGAUGUUCGACUCCUGUUUUGGCUCAAAUAUCUGAAAUAAGCCAACAUCUUUACUUUUUCUUAACAUAGAUCAUCUAGAUGCAGUGUAAUUACCAGUUCGGCUGCGCCAGAUAUUUGAUUUAUUUGGGAGAUAUAUCUUUUUACGACCCCAUUUAUGUUCGGCUGUAGUAGAUAUUUGAUUUAUUUAGUAAAUAUAUCUUUAAGACCCUAACCGGAUGAACUACAACUGUGGUGCUGAUUUGUAUCAGGCUGCAUGGCGCGGCUCUAUGGAAUUGUAGUUUUUAUGAAAUAUUAGUGUUUUUCAAAAGAUUGUAAAUUGUAAAGACUGAAUUGAGAGGACACUGUGGAGUUUAAGGGGAAGGUAAAAACAUUUGUGUAACCAGAUUUUAAAUAUUCCUGUUCUGCUCACAUCACAUCAAUGUCAAUCAUUCUUACAUUUACAACGACACCACUUCAUCUGCUUCUGAUGCUUUUUAAUUUUGUGCUGCUGCCUCUUGUAGCCUUUCUGCUUCUCGUCUUCCCCUAAUGAGGACCACCUGCCCUUUAUAUCGCUGGGCCUGCAGUCUUACACUGAUGAAUGUAACUUCGGUGUGUGAAGUACUUGCCAAAUACUAUCCUGAAAAUCACUUUCACUUGUGAACCCCGAAUGUAAACAGGGCCACUAUGUACAACAACAACAGACCUUUUAGUAUAACAAUUAAUAGCAUCUAUUAAAUAUUGUCUCUCACCUUUGUUUC
This is a long non-coding RNA of Siniperca chuatsi (mandarin fish), 5005 nucleotides long. RefSeq lists it as uncharacterized. Lineage: Eukaryota; Metazoa; Chordata; Actinopteri; Centrarchiformes; Sinipercidae. The transcript is spliced from 3 exons. The record is from RefSeq and is a predicted model, not a curated record.